AUGCCUCCAGAGAAGAUAGAGAUCGAGGCAAAAAACAUCGAUGCAGCAGCAGGAGAGAUAAUUGGUGUUUUGGAGGAUACAAGCAAAGGAAAUGUGAUCUACUUCAAGGGCUGGGAAGGAUUGGGAGCAUCCGCGGUUCUCAAUCUGGUAGCCCAACGCCCGAAAUCAUCAACAAGACAAAACAAGUUUGAUAAGGUUAUCCAUGUGGAUUGCUCAGUAUGGAAAAACACAAGGUCUCUGCAGAAGGCAGUAGCGGAGGAGCUGGAGCUUCCGCAGUCUGUGAUGGCCAUCUUCGAUCAAUAUGACAAGGACGAUGACUUCAAUGGGAAAGAUGAAGGCUCCAGAGAGGUGAUAGCAGAUAUCAGGAUGGAAAUAUUCAGGAAACUCUAUAACAGUAGAUUUCUGGUGGUUUUCCACAACGGAAGCAGAAGAUACAUUGAUUUGUAUGAGUGUUGUGUCCCAGUAAUAUCACUUUUAGGUAACAAGGUCUUGUGGACCUGGCACGGGAGGUUUCGGAUGGGUCUCAGAUUAGAAGAUGGGGAAAAGGUAAAGAUGAAGAGUCAGACAGAUGUUCGCUUAUCUGCUUCUCCUGAAUGUAAUUUUGAGGAAGCACAAGAUAUACUGCAUGAAGAGGCUUUGGAUGUUGCCAAGUGCACUGGGAUUGUUCAGCCCGACGAUAUGAGCCACAAGAUAGUCAUGGAGUGCCUCAUAUACAGGACACUGAUUGCUACAGAUUUGAAAGCUCAUGCACCAAACUAUUGGAUCUGUGAUGGUAUUAUACAGGGCGAAGACAAUGCAUCAGCAUGGGAGAUUGGCAAUUCUCUGCACAGAAACAUGUGCUUGGAUGUUGAGUUAACAUAUAAUGAGGAAACAGCUCCCGUGCAACAGGUGUCGGGUGAUUUACUUGUUAACCGCUGGAAUUUCACCACCCACAAACAACUGCUAGAGGAUAAGGCUGGAGCGUUGCCUCCUCAGGUGACAUCCUUCUUCCUCUUUGCAGAUGAAUCACCAACAGAUAGAGCACCAAUAUUGCUGGUUAGCAUGUUUCAACAUUCACAAAGCAGCAAGCUACGUGUGUUACACCUGUCUCAUUGCACCUUCAGUUUUGCAUGCCCUCCCUUCGUCCAUUGUGUCCAACUAAGAUUGCUCCAUCUGGACCAUUGCACAAAUAUCACAGAGGAUGAUGAGCAUCCAAGCCACAAUGAAAACAUGUCAUGUUUCCAGAAGCUGUGGGUGCUGGAUCUGAGGUAUACACACUGGCACUGGCUGCUAUCAGAAAAAAUAAAGAGAUUGAUGGUUGAACUCAGGGAGUUAAAUGAGGAGGGAGUCAAGCAUGGGAGCAUAAGUGACUUGUAUGGUGGUAGACCAAGCCUUGUAAUACUUCGAGUAACAGCAGCAGAUCCGGUCCCUACGGAGAACGAGGACACAAAUAAUCAAGCACAAUUCCCCAAUAUGUCUAGUACAAACAGCCUUACGACAUCUAGCUUCAUCAACGACGUCCUAUCUCCGUCGCUCAAGUCAUUUAGCUUCAUGAACAAAUCUACAAGUGAUGCCAAGAUAUCUAGCAUCUCCUUCCAGGGUUGUUCUCAGUUGAAGAAUAUACUUCUGAAAGGGAAUUUGGGGACCCUGGAGGAGCUGGACCUCUCAGGCACAGCAUUGAAAACCCUUGACCUCAGAGAAGUGGAAGCUCGAAACCUCAAGCGUCUCAUGUUGCUAGGCUGUGAGAAGCUCCGUGCGAUAUUAUGGCCACCAGAAGAUAACAGGAGAUGGGUUUUGGAGAAGUUGCAGAUCAGCACCGUCCAAUCUGCAUCACCUAGCCAGAAUAAUUGGGAAGAGAAGAUCAAGGAGGCUAGUCCUACUGCAGGAUCAUCAUCUAUCCUUGCAUUGGGAGCUUCACCAUUAGGCACCAGGCGAAUUGCAUCUUUUGACUUCAAUUGGUACAUAUCUGUUGCGGAUGCAAGGCUCAUGUGGUCGCUUCUGCCCUUUCAGAAAGAAAUUGGGGAAAACUUUGUAUACAUGGAGAUUGAUUCAUCUCCUGCCAGUGGAGCUGCUGUUGGUCGCCCUGAAGUUGCUCAAGGCAUCGGGAGCCAGCAGCAGUUUGCUCAAUACUUAUAUGCAAGUGAUGUCUUUGAAGAAGAAUCGCAAGCUGUCAGUGCUAUCGAAGGUGUGAUCAGCUGGAUGUGGCCUUGUCCACGUACUCCUACUCCACUUCCUCAAGACUGGUACUUCCACAUGCAAGACGAAGAGAAGAUGGAAAGAGGAUCUUUACAGCAACAACACAACGCUCAAAGUAUUAAUACUGGUGUUGCUUUAGCCCCUGUUUUGAUGUGUGAUAAUGCACGGAUGUUGUAUGUGCAUGAUAACUAUUCCGCCACUUGCAUUCCAUGCUCACAAGGUGCAGACUGGUGGUAUCUUGGAUGGUGCCGAGUUGAGAGGUGCCCAAAUCUAUGCUUUGUCUUUGCCACUCCCCAACUAAGUAGUGGCCAGAAGGUCUUUUGGCGCUUGUGUACAUUCUGGGCAUCCCAGCUCCUGAAGGCGUGCUACAUCUGGAACUGGAGUGCAGUAGCUCAACCUGGUAGUCGUUCGUUUGAACGCCUAGCGUUCUUGCACCUGGACUGUUGCCCCAGGCUCAUACAUGUGCUUCCCUUGUCUGAGCAUAUGGACACCCUGCCUAGCCUGCAGACGCUGGAGAUCGUGUACUGUGGUGAUCUGAAGGAAGUCUUCCCUUUGGACCCUAAGCGCCAACAGAAGCAGGAAAUUAUAAGAUUUCCCAACCUAAGAAGGAUCCACCUGUACCAGCUCUACACUCUACAGAGCAUCUGUGGGAGCAAGAUGUCAGCGCCCAACCUUGAGACCAUCAGAAUCAGGGGUUGCUGGGGCCUUACACGCUUGCCAUCUGUCAGUAGCAGCACCACCAAGCGGCCCAAGGUGGACUGCGAGAAGGACUGGUGGGACAACCUAAAGUGGGACGGUCUAGAGGCGAACCACGACCCUUUGCUCUAUGAACCACGCCACUCGCGAUAUUACAAGGCCCACCUGCCAAGAUGCACCGUCCUCAGGUAA
This 3063-nucleotide ribosomal RNA is filed under the name Triticum aestivum (bread wheat). Its description in RNAcentral is "partial small subunit ribosomal RNA". The record is from RNAcentral. Lineage: Eukaryota; Viridiplantae; Streptophyta; Magnoliopsida; Poales; Poaceae.